GACGAACCGUCCAAACGUUAUUCGGAAUUACUGGGCUUAAAGGGUGCGUAGGCGGCCUGACAAGUUGGGUGUGAAAUACCUCGGCUCAACCGAGGAACAGCGCUCAAAACUGUUAGGCUUGAGGGAGAUAGAGGUGAGCGGAACUUAAGGUGGAGCGGUGAAAUGCGUUGAUAUCUUAAGGAACACCCGUGGCGAAAGCGGCUCACUGGAUCUCUUCUGACGCUCAUGCACGAAAGCUAGGGGAGCAAACGGGAUUAGAUACCCCGGUAGUCCUAGCCGUAAACGAUGAGCACUGGGUUGGAGGCCCCUUCAUAGGCUUCCGGCCGAAGCGAAAGUGUUAAGUGCUCCGCCUGGGGAGUAUGGUCGCAAGGCUGAA
RNAcentral lists this ribosomal RNA (376 nucleotides) under uncultured bacterium. RNAcentral's name for it is "bacterial SSU rRNA". It matches the Rfam family "Bacterial small subunit ribosomal RNA", at positions 524 to 898 of the family's 1533-position model. The record is from RNAcentral.